This is an RNA transcript of Magnolia sinica, 3347 nucleotides long. It is a transcript of the gene named filament-like plant protein, with no coding region annotated. The transcript has 5 exons. The record is from RefSeq and is a predicted model, not a curated record. NCBI's taxonomy places the organism in Eukaryota, Viridiplantae, Streptophyta, Magnoliopsida, Magnoliales, Magnoliaceae.
CUCUCUCUCUCUCUCUCUCUCUCUCUCUCUCUACUGACAUUCUACGGAUUUUUAAAAGCUUUCUUUACAGAUUUUGGACUCUGCUGUUGUUUCAUGUUGUGUUGUUUUUCUAUUCCUUCUAUCUUGUUUUUUCUAUUUCAUUUUUGUAGCUUUGAGUAAUGGGAGAAUGAUUUUGAAGUUCUAACUAUUUCUUGUUCUUGAUUUUCCCCUUUUUAUAUGAUUUGAUUCUAUUUUUAUUUUUAUUUUUUAAUUGUGGGUUUUGGGGAGAUUAGAUUUUUCUUUAAUGGGUAGUUUUUAUUUGAAAAUUUGAGUAAUGGGUGUGGAUGAUUUUUCAUUUUAUGGGGGUUUUUUGUCAGUUUUGAGGGUCCCAACAACCUUUAAAAAAAAAUUCUUUCCUGUUUUUGAGUUAGGUGUUGGGAUGGUUGUAAUUAGGUGGGAGUCUGGAUUGUGUUUCUGGGGUGUAUUUGAAGCAAAGAAGAGCUAGAAUGAUAAGUACUAUUUUAUGUAGUUUUGAAUUCGCCGAGAUUUUGGUUUUCUGUUUGUAGAAUUUACAUUGUUGGGUUCUUUGGCUUUUUUAUUUUAUUUUUCUAGAUUGCAGGCGCAAUUUUUUAUUUUUUAUUUUUGGGAAAUUAGAUGAUUUUGAGACAUGGGUUUUCUUUAAUUUUUUAAAGAAAUAUUUAUGGAGGAUUUUUUGUUUAGAGGGGAACGGUUGAGAUUUGCGCAUUUUUGUUUUGUAAGUGAUGUGUAGCAGAAUUGGGGUGUGAUAUAUAAGCAGAUGAAAUUGCAGUGAGGUGUCGGAUGGUGAGAUGGAUCGUCGGAGUUGGCUGUGGAGGAAGAAGUCUUCUGAGAAGAGUCCUGGCGAAACCGAAAGCUCAGGGUCUUUGUCUUCUCUUUCCGAAAGGUUCUCUGAUGAGCAGGAUGCAUCAAGAGCAUCUCCAAGUCAUACUCAAUCACCAGAGAUUUCAUCGAAGCUGGCAGAUGGCGAAGUCCAUGACAGUGUGACAAGGCUGACGUCAAAGCUUGUGGAUGGUGAAGUUGAUGACAAUGUGAAGAGUCUGACUGAGAAACUAUCAGCUGCUCUUUCGAACAUCAAUGCUAAAGAAGAUUUGGUUAAGCAGCAUGCCAGAGUUGCAGAAGAAGCUGUUUCAGGCUGGGAGAAGGCGGAAAAGGAAGUAGCGGCUUUGAAGCAGCAGCUUGAAGCUGCGGCUCGGAAGAAUUCAGUUUUUGAAGAUCGAGUCCUCCAACUAGACGGUGCUCUCAAGGAAUGUGUAAGGCAGCUUCGGCAAUCAAGAGAGGAUCAAGACCAGAAGAUCCAUGAGGCUCUUCUCAAGAAAACCCGUGAAUGGGAAUCUACCAAGCUUCAGCUUGAGAACCAGCUCUCUGGACUCCAGACCCAGCUGCAAGCUGCCAAAGCCGAAGAUGCUGCCUCUGCAGAUCACGACCUCCAGAAGAAGCUCAGAGCUGCAGAGAAAGAGAACACGGCUCUCAAGCUCCAGCUCCACACUAAUGCUGAGGAGCUCAAAGUUAGGACUCUGGAGCGAGACCUGAGCACCCAAACAGCCGAAACAGCUAGCAAGCAGCAUUUGGAGAGUAUAAAAAAGGUUGCCAAGCUUGAGGCUGAAUGCCGUAGACUCCAGGCCGUGGCCCGCAAGGCAUCUUCAGUUAAUGAGCACAGGCCCAUUGGUGGAUCUUUUUAUGUAGAAUCGCUCAUGGAUAGCCUAUCGGAUAGCCGAGAACGGUUGCCUGCAGUCAAGAUCGAUACACAUAAGAUGCGUAACAUGGAGUUGAAUGAGUGUGAGCCAAGCUGUUCGGACUUGUGGGCAUCGGCUCUAAUUACCGAACUCGAUCAGUUCAAGAACGAGAAGGCCAUUGGGAAAAACUUCACAUCCUCUUCUGUAGAUAUUGAUAUCAUGGAUGAUUUCCUUGAGAUGGAAAGGCUGGUGGCUUUGCCUGAGACUAAAGAUGGUGGCUGCCACCAUGAGUCCGGAGCUGUUAUGGAUCAACCGAAUAGCCGAAACAGCCCAUUCAAAGCUGAGCUCGAAGCUGUGCUUCAGAGGGCAGAGGAAUUAGAAAAGAAGUUACAAAGUGUGGAAGGUGAGAAAGCGAGAUUGGAGAUGACAUUGGCCGAAAGCCAAGAUCAACUCAAGAUGUCGUGGAAUCAGCUGAUGGAAGCUGAGGAGAAGCUGGUGGAGUUGCAAAGGCAGUUGCAUUCGGUUAAUGAGCAGAAGCAAGCUAAGGAGAUGGAAAUAGAGGCUGCAAAUGCAAAGACAGAGGCAGUGGAAUCACAGCUCAAAACAGUGGAUUCUGAGGUUCGGACACUUCAUGCCAAAGUAGCUUCAUUGGAAGUGGUGAUUGAAGAAGAGCGGGCAUUGUCAGUGGAAGUUGCAGCGAAGUGUCGGACCUUGGAGGAUGAGCUUUCAAGGAGGAAACGUGAAGCAGAGCUGCGGUCGGCCACCUACUCCAAUGGCGAAUUGAAGACAAAACAGGAGGAGCUGGUGGCUGCUCGGAAGCUUGCAGAUUGUCAGAAGACAAUCGCCUCUCUUGGGCAGCAGUUAAAAUCAUUGGCAAGUUUAGAGGACUUCUUUCUCGAUUCCAACAUUCCAGAGCUAAUUGGAGGAUCGUUGGUUCCUGGAGGAGAACUAAGCGAUUCAUAUUUCCCAAAAAUGAAAGCAGAAUCAGCAAAAAUCAUCAAUGGUUCUAAUCCUCCAAAUGAUAUAAACGUGGAGUCGCCACUAUCAUCUAACUCGUCCUCAUUAGAAAAUCAAGCUCCCGAGAAAAUCCGAAAUGGGUUUGGAAAGCUGUUUUCUCGGAGUAAGAACACUAGUACUUGUAAAGAAAAUCAAUGAAGGAAAAAACAAAAUCGACAGUUUCCAUGUUCAUUGUGCAGUGGAAGCCUAUAUACUUGGAGAGUGAUUUGAUAUUCUGGCAGUCUAUGAUGGGUGAUACUCAGGUUGUAUUCAUCUGAUCCACAUUAGAUAGAUUAUUAUCCAAAAUUCAGAUUAACUAAGCUCUCACUAAUAAGCAUUGUAUGCUGAAUUUGGACUGAAAACUUUCAUUUUGGCCAUCUCUUACAGGCCAGCUGGGAAAUCAAAUAAAUGAAAUCUUCGGUUUUGAUAGCCAUCUAAAUCGUGGCCCACUAUUUGCAUGGUGUGUUUUGAGUUCCAUCUAUGGCAUCUGUAUAAUUUCUUAGUGCAUGUAGAUCAACCGCCAUGGUCUAUUAGUGUCGAAACUUAGCUUUUUGAAGAUGAAGAGCGUUUAGCAGCUUAGCUUGUUGAAGAUGUAGAAUGUUUAGCAGACAUCUGCCAUCCUUCUAAAUUACUUAAAUGCUCUUACUAUUGGUUUUAAAA